This 74-nucleotide small RNA is filed under the name Flavobacterium lindanitolerans. Its description in RNAcentral is "Flavo-1 RNA". The record is from RNAcentral. Lineage: Bacteria; Pseudomonadati; Bacteroidota; Flavobacteriia; Flavobacteriales; Flavobacteriaceae.
UUGUGUGAAGGAUAGAAGCGAAAAAUCCAGAGCUAAACACGAUCGAGGACUUGUAGCGUAUAGCCUGACCCUUU